GUUUUAAUAAUUUAUUUAAAAUACUGGUCUUGUAAACCGGAAAUAAGAUUUAUUCUUUUAAAACU
Molecule: transfer RNA, 65 nt
Filed under: Xylotrupes socrates tonkinensis
Lineage: Eukaryota; Metazoa; Arthropoda; Insecta; Coleoptera; Scarabaeidae
Also listed under: 1 other name
Description: tRNA-Thr
Rfam family: tRNA
About the family: Transfer RNA (tRNA) molecules are approximately 80 nucleotides in length. Their secondary structure includes four short double-helical elements and three loops (D, anti-codon, and T loops).
Source: RNAcentral